ACGGCCACACCACAUUGAAAACACCGGUUCUCGUCUGAUCACCGAAGUUAAGCAAUGUCGGGCCCGGUCAGUACUUGGGAGGGUGACCACCGGGUGCUGUAGUUU
Molecule: non-coding RNA, 105 nt
Organism: Cordylochernes scorpioides
Lineage: Eukaryota; Metazoa; Arthropoda; Arachnida; Pseudoscorpiones; Chernetidae
Source: the annotation of a GenBank genome assembly